UAGGGAAUCUUCCACAAUGGACGCAAGUCUGAUGGAGCAGCGCCGCGUGAGUGAAGAAGGCUUUCGGGUCGUAAAACUCUGUUAUUGAAGAAGAACGUGUGUGACAGUAACUGGUCAUGCAGUGACGGUAUUCAAUCAGAAAGUCACGGCUAACUACGUGCCAGCAGCCGCGGUAAUACGUAGGUGGCAAGCGUUGUCCGGAUUUAUUGGGCGUAAAGCGAGUGCAGGCGGUCUUUUAAGUCUGAUGUGAAAGCCUUCGGCUUAACCGAAGAAGGGCAUCGGAAACUGGGAGACUUGAGUGCAGAAGAGGAGAGUGGAACUCCAUGUGUAGCGGUGAAAUGCGUAGAUAUAUGGAAGAACACCAGUGGCGAAGGCGGCUCUCUGGUCUGUAACUGACGCUGAGGCUCGAAAGCGUGGGUAGCAAACAGGAUUAGAUACCCUGGUAGUCCACGCGUAAACGAUGAAUACUAAGUGUUGGAGGGUUUCCGCCCUUCAGUGCUGCAGCUAACGCAUUAAGUAUUCCGCCUGGGGAGUACGACCGCAAGGUUGAAAC
This 553-nucleotide ribosomal RNA is filed under the name uncultured bacterium. RNAcentral's name for it is "partial 16S ribosomal RNA". It matches the Rfam family "Bacterial small subunit ribosomal RNA", at positions 355 to 900 of the family's 1533-position model. The record is from RNAcentral.